CCGGUCAUCGGAAUGGGUACAAUCUAAACCCUUUAACGAGUAUCUAUGAGAGGGCAAGUCUGGUGCCAGCAGCCGCGGUAAUUCCAGCUCUCAAAAUGCAUAGAAUUAUUGCUGCGGUUAAAAAGCUCGUAGUUGGAUCUGUGCCAGGGAGUCGGUCNCACUUUCGAGUGCGUACUGGCUAACCCAGGCUUUGUUUGCCGGUUUUCUCCUCGUCGGUCUUAACCGACUGCGGGGGGUGGCUGGCGAUUUUACUUUGAACAAAUCAGAGUGCUUAACACAGGCGUUUCGCUUGAAUGUUCGUGCAUGGAAUAAUAGAAAAGGAUUUCGGUUCUAUUUUAUUGGUUUUAUAGACUGAGAUAAUGGUUAACAGAGACAAACGGGGGCAUUCGUAUUGCUGCGUGAGAGGUGAAAUUCUUGGACCGCAGCAAGACGAACUACAGCGAAAGCAUUUGCCAAGAAUGUCUUCAUUAAUCAAGAACGAAAGUCAGAGGUUCGAAGGCGAUCAGAUACCGCCCUAGUUCUGACCGUAAACGAUGCCAACUAGCGAUCCGCCGGCGGAUAUUUCGCCCUGGUGGGGAGCUUCCCGGAAACGAAAGUCUUCCGGUUCCGGGGGAAGUAUGGUUGCAAAGCUGAAACUUAAAGGAAUUGACGGAAGGGCACCACCAGGAGUGGAGCCUGCGGCUUAAUUUGACUCAACACGGGGAAACUCACCCGGCCCGGACACCGUAAGGAUUGACAGAUUGAUAGCUUUUUCAUGAUUCGGUGGAUGGUGGUGCAUGGCCGUUCUUAGUUCGUGGAGCGAUUUGUCUGGUUUAUUCCGAUAACGAGCGAGACUCUAGCCUACUAAAUAGUUCGCACAUUGUCAACUUGUGUGCGCUUACUUCUUAGAGGGAUUUUCGGUGUUCAGCCGCACGAGAUUGAGCAAUAACAGGUCUGUGAUGCCCUUAGAUGUCCGGGGCUGCACGCGCGCUACACUGGCGAAAUCAGCGUGCUUAUCCUUUCUCGAAAGGGAUUGGUAAACCAUUGAAAAUUUGCCGUGAUUGGGAUCGGAAAUUGCAAUUAUUUUCCGUGAACGAGGAAUUCCAAGUAAGUGCGAGUCAUCAACUCGCGUUGAUUACGUCCCUGCCCUUUGUACACACCGCCCGUCGCU
RNAcentral lists this ribosomal RNA (1150 nucleotides) under Filenchus vulgaris. RNAcentral's name for it is "SSU rRNA". It matches the Rfam family "Eukaryotic small subunit ribosomal RNA", at positions 502 to 1680 of the family's 1831-position model. Lineage: Eukaryota; Metazoa; Nematoda; Chromadorea; Rhabditida; Tylenchidae. The record is from RNAcentral.